GUAGUAGCAAAUAUUCAAAUGAGAACUUUGAAGACUGAAGUGGAGAAAGGUUCCACGUGAACAGCAAUUGGACGUGGGUUAGUCGAUCCUAAGAGAUAGGAGAAAUCCGUUGCAAGGCGGGCGUUUCGGCGCCCCUUCUAUCGAAAGGGAAUCGGGUUAAUAUUCCCGAACCGGAACACGGAUAUU
RNAcentral lists this ribosomal RNA (186 nucleotides) under uncultured Symbiodinium. RNAcentral describes it as "partial Eukaryotic large subunit ribosomal RNA". It matches the Rfam family "Eukaryotic large subunit ribosomal RNA", at positions 1457 to 1639 of the family's 3401-position model. The record is from RNAcentral. Lineage: Eukaryota; Dinophyceae; Suessiales; Symbiodiniaceae.